UGAGUGAUUGUUGAUCAGUUGACCAAACUAGUUCAUUUCCUACCGAUCAUUUUUAUUUAUGAGCCGUGAUAUAUAUUGAUGAGAUAAUGUACCUACGUGGAACACCUCUCCCUGUUGACUACGCUUAUGUGGCAAUAUUGUGCAACAAAAAAAAUAGCACUCAAAAAAGGAGCAUAAAUGUUAGAGAACAAAAAACACUUUUCUCUUCAUGUUUUUGACCCUUUGGUCACUCUCUUGUUUGGCCUCAGCAUCUUUGAGGUAUGAUUGCAUGUUCUCAUCCCUUUUUUGAUUGAUUCAAUUGAUGUUCUCGAACAACAGAUAAAAACAAGAAAUUAGGCUCACGAGCUAUUUCUGCAGCCUCAUUGGUCACUGUUGUUAAUAAUAUUUCUACCAUAUUUCCAAUCUAAAUUACUGCGGAAUAGUGAAGCUUCAUCCGUUCUUUCUGUCCAGGUGCAAGUCUGCAUCUUCACAAACAUGUCAUUUCACCGAGCCUCUCUCCGAGACAAUGCGCAGAUAAUUCGCCUUUCAUGAGGAUCGAAACUUACCCGAUGAAUUUCGUUACCUUAAGACGGUUAAAUUUAUGGCCGCCGUUUACCCGGUCUUUGGCCGUCAGCUCCCUGUUAUCAGGUCACCAACUUCCUUGACCCUUCCAGCAAUGGGCAUGCAUCAGCUCCCAUACAUGGUCUUACGACUUUGCGGAGACCAACGUUUUUGAUAAGCACUCGCCCUGAAUUGUGUAAUGCACACCGUUGGAUAGCUGAUAUCAGUAUAUCCUUUAUCAUAUGGAAGGUCAACCUUCUGAAAUGCCUAAAUCAAUUCAUUCUUUAAGUCAACAAUCCCCUGCAUAAAAGAAAUUGCCACCUACCUUACAAUAGAAUAAAAAGAAAAAGGAUUGGGCGUCCAUUUCUUCUUGGUCAAACUAUUAUUGAUGGAAAAAGAUUUAAUAUAGCAAAAUAAAUCUUGACUAAUGUUCCAAUGUAUCUGAAUCUACACAUCUUCAAAGGCUAUACCUCUAAAAAUUCUUGAACUGCCUUCCUAUCAAGGUUAGCCAUGAUAUAAUGUGAGCAAAUCUUAUUGAGUAGGCUAAAAAAUUAUCAUAAAUCCCUUUGAAUGUCCUUUAUACACAAUGUUGGACAUUUUUUUGAUAAGGUAAAUUGUAUUAAUCAAAAGGGAGAAAACUCCCGUAUACAAGAAGUAUACUAAAAAGUAGAGAAUUUACACUAAAAUAUGAUUCUCUACAAAAGACGCACAAUCUUCUAUACUAGUAGGGGCUAUAUGAGUGCACCAAAAAGCGAUCAAAGAUAAAAGACUAUUCUUAAGAUGUGAAAAAUGAGACUCAAUCCCCUCAAAUCUCUCCUAUUUCUCUCCCUCCAAACUAUCCACAUGAAAGCUAGCGGUGCGAACUUCCACGCUUUUUGCUUUCUUCUUCUACGGAAACCGACUCAACUAUAUAACAUUUCCUUUACAGUGCUUGGCAUCACCCAUUGAACACCAAAAAAAUUCAGGAUUGCCCUCCACAAAUCCGAGGACACAGGGCAAUGCAACAAAAGAUGAUCAACUUCUUCCCCUGAGCUUUUACACAUGUAGCACCAACUAACAAGUGUAAUUCCUCUCUUUCGGAGAUUUUCAGCGGUCUAUCUAAUAAAAACACAGAAGAUUCUACUCUGGCAGAAUUUCUUAGUAGAAUUAGUAUCUGAAUCAUUUGAGUGCCUCUUAAAUAUGGAUGCAGCUAUAUACAGAAACCAGUAUAUAAUAAAUCCCUACCUUUUGUAACAAAUAUUUUUCAAAGAUCACCUAGAGAAAUCAAGCACUGUAACAAUUAGCAACACUCAUACAUGUCCAUAGAGAAAGCAGUUUAUAAUAGAAAAUGAAAUGACCAUCGUCCCUUUGAAAGGAGAUGUUUGCAGCACAAGGAAAAGGAGAACUAUGGUAAAAGGUCAUAUACACAAUUAACAAAGUCAAUAUUAUAUCUACUUGAUAACUAAUAGAAUGUCUUUCUCUUUCAGAACUCAAAACUAUAACCUGAUUGAUAAGUCUGGAAAAUUGUCUGGUUUGUCCUCCCAAGUAAGAACAGAUUGUCUCUGUUCAUGUAUUUCUUGUUUGGUCAGCUGCAAUAUAAAGUGUUGGUAUUCCACGGUAAAGUUGCUGUCAUGUGACCAGGAGGUCACGGGUUCUGAGCCGUGGAAAUAGCCUCUUGCAAAAACGCAGGAUAAGGCUGCGUACAAUAGACCCUUGUGGUCCGGCCCUUCCCCAGACCCCGCACAUAGCAGGAGCUUAGUGCACCGGGCUGUGAAAAAGGAAAAAAAGGGUCUUCCAUGGUGUGUUGGCACUUGGCAAUUGACAGUUUCAAAGAAUUCCAAAGGCCAAGCUAUAACUUAAAUAUAGGUCCCUAUUGAAAGCCUAGCUAUUUUAUUACUAAGAAUUCAAGGACCUGAAAUCAUGCAUACCACUAACUCUACAACCAACAAUAGGAUUAAAGAUUUAAAAGUUGAAAUCCACAAGCCAGAUAGCAGAGUUCGUGCCUUUCACUAUUUUAUUGCAUUUAAAAUUCUUAAAUUCCAUCUGUCCCAUGUUGAGCUAGGAAAGACUUUAAUAUUAUUUCCUUUUGUUCUCCUGGUGUUGGAUGGAUGCCUAAUUCUUAAUAUUUAUGAAGGGGCCAGGAGAUGGUUGACUUUAGAACAAUAGAUAGAUACAUCAGUAGGUUGACCAGCAAUACAAAGAAGAAUUCAGAACUAUUAGCAUUGCAAUAGAGAUAACAUUACACAAUUUGACUCUCAGAUUCAAUUUGUGACAACAAAACAUGGCAGAAAUUCUGCUGACGGUAGUAAUCAAGAAGGCUGCAGAUAUUGCCGGUGAACUUAUUUCAGCACAAGUUUCUAGGUACAGUAAAUUGCCAGAGAACACAAAAUGGAUCGAAAGAGAGAUGAGACACAUGCAAUCUUACCUCAAAGAUGCUGAGUCCAAGCAAGCAAGAGACCAAAGAAUCAAGAACAUGAUCAAGGAUAUUGAAGAAAUUGCUCGUGAUGUGGAAGAUAUUCUGGAUGAGUUUCUUCCCAAAGUUGCAUCCAAGGGAGGAAAAUCACUAGGGUUUUUAAAGAAGACUUUUCAAGCCAUUCCGUUUGCAAUAGCUGCAUUUAAGUUUGUUUCAGAAAUUGAGAAGAUCAAGAGAAGGGUGCAUGAAAUUGAUCGCAUAAGAACAACUUAUGGUAUCAUGGAUACCAGUGCUAGUGCUGAAGCUGAUGGCAACUGGGAUUUUAGAAGAUCAUUUCUCUAUGCCGAUGAACCUGAUGUUGUUGGUCUAGACAAAGAUUGCCAAAGUUUAGAGGCCAAAUUACUUGAUGCACAUUUAAGGUACGCUGUAGUCUCAAUAGUUGGCAUGCCAGGUCUGGGAAAGACAACACUUGGAAAGAGAAUUUACAGGCGUGUUCAAGGUAAUUUCGAGUGCUCCGCUUUAGUCUAUAUUUCUCAAGAGCCAAGAAUGAGGGAGCUUCUACUCAGCAUAGCUAGACAAGUAGGCCUACCAGAAGGAAGGAGAGAUGAGGACUUGGAGUCCAACUUGAGCACAUUCUUGAAGGAAAAAAGGUAUCUUGUUUUCUUGGAUGACAUUUGGAAUACUAGAACUUGGGAUUGUUUGAAACUUGUCUUUCCCAACAAUUGUAAAAGUGGCAGUAGGCUUAUUAUUACUUCACGAAAUAAUAAUGUUGGUCGAUACAUUGGAGGUGAAAAAUCACUUCAUAAGUUGCAACCUCUAGAUCCAGAAAAUAGCUGGAAGCUAUUCUCCAAGAUGAUCACAACCCUUCAAGAAACCACCAUCGAUCCACCAGAGCUGACAGACAUUGCUAGAAAGAUAGUAGGAAGAUGUGGUGGCGUGCCUCUAGCUAUUGAGAUGACAGCAGGUAUGUUGCGUGCCCGAGAAAGAACAGAACUUGAAUGGAAUGGGAUACUCAAGAAAAUAGGUCUAGAUGAUCAAGACAAAUUCUCAAAGAUUUUGACUUUGAGUUACACGGAUUUGCCGGCCACUUUAAAACCUUGCUUUCUCUAUUUUGGACUCUUUCCUGAGGAUACACAAAUAUAUGCUUCUGAUUUGAUCAACAUGUGGGUUGCUGAGAAAUUUAUAGGAACUGAAAGGGGAUGGAUGCUACAGAUAUUGGGGCAGACUACCUAAACAUCUUGGUGGCUCGGAAUUUAAUCCAGGUUGCUAGUAGAGGAUUCGAUGGAAGGAUCAAAAGUUGUCGAAUUCAUGAUCUUUUACACGAUCUUUGCAUUACACUGGCUGAAGAGAACAACUUUUUUCAGAAGGUAGACAGCAGAGGUUUUGGUGCUACGACUACCAGAAUUCGAAGACUUGCUCUCCAUCCUCAACAUGUCACUGAGUAUGUCACUUCAAACUCCGAAGCUCCCAAGAUUCGCGCUUUGCUAUGUUUCACCAGUGAUUACCAGGGAAUCGACCAGCAACAUCUCCAACAUAUGAUUUCCAGAUUCAGGUUCCUACGUGUUUUGAGUCUAGAGGCUAGAUAUUCUUGGUGCUCUUUGCCAAAUGAAAUUGUGAACAUGAACCACUUAAGUCACAUUAAACUAAAAGGAACUUUCCAUGGAGAAUUUCCUUCCCGUAUAUGUUAUCUUGAAACGCUUCUUACCUUGGACAUCCGAGGAUGUUUGGGAACCAUAUUCCUUCCUACGUCUGUCUGGAGGAUGAGGCAAGUAAGAUAUCUCCUUCUUGGAUAUACUACUAACUUCAUAUCCUCAUUUUCUCUCACACGCAGAUUUAAGCACAAAAAUCUGUCCCUUCCAGAUAAGGCAGAUUCAGUAAAUCUCCAGACACUGUACAAUGUACAAUGCAAGUAUUUGAAACCAAGCUGGUUCUCUAAAUUCAUCAAUUUAAGAAGCUUGAAGAUAAGGUAUAUCUCAGAAGAGAUAUUGAGGGCAUUGAUGGAUGCAGCUCAUGUGUUACAGAAGCUCGAGAAGCUUUGUUUGAGCGGAAAUUUUGACGACAGAUUUAUAAGUAUUGACGCAGAGGCAAUCAGCAGUACAUAUUAUGCACAGACAUUCAAUCUUUCUGGCUAUCAUUAUCUUACCAAGCUGAAUAUUGAGCACAUACCACUGAAAAAACUACCCAACUCAGAAGCAUUUCCUCCAAAUAUUGUCAAACUUACUAUUUCCGCAUUUACAAUGACAGAAGAUCCAAUGAAUACACUAAAAAGACUACUCAAAUUGAAGAUCUUGAAACUCAGAGACUUUGACUACAAGAGUGUAAACAAGCUGGAUUGCUCUGGAGUAGAUAGUUUUCCGCAACUUGAACUGGUCGAAAUUGAAGAUUGUAGUUCUCUACAAGAAUUGAUAGCGGAUGAUAUGGGAAUGCCAAAGAUCAAGAAGAUUGUAGUUCUUAACUGUCCUUCAUUAAAGAAAAUCUCAGGGAGACUUCAAUGCAGAUUGCUGGAGAAGACAUCUGAUGCAAAAAGGAGGAGAAAAUAAUGGAUGUUGGUAUUGUUGUUUUGAUAGAUUGAGACUCCAUGCCAUUGUUCUUUUAUUUGUUAAGACAUCCUCAAUAUCCACAGACUUGCUUCAACAUGUUUUCCCUGCUAGCCUCACUGUAUUUCAUAGGCACACACAAUCAUGAUACUCCUUUUCUUCCUUCCCAUACUCCUUUUUCACCUAACAUCUGUAUACUUUCAAAACAAUAAUGGAGAUUUGGUUGCCAAUGGAAUGUGCUGUCAUUGUUCUAAUAAUCUAUAGUAGUAAAAUUCAAUUUCUCAAUCUUAAUGCAAUUCAUGUCAAGAAGAUUGCUACUCACAGCCUCGCACAUUACGUGGAUUGAAAGUUCUUGAUUCUACAACUCUUACACUAAACUUAAUCCAUGAAAUGAGUUAUGUGAUAAAAGACAAGGAUUUUCUCGAGUUAGGGAUGGCAAUGGGGCGAGGCGGAGCGGGACGGGUUAAAACAAUUUUUAAAAUUUUUAAAGCGGGGCGGGACGGGUUGCGGGUUCAAUGCGGGGAAACUUUGAAUUUUAUCUUUUUUGAAACAAAGCAAUCAUUUCAACUACAAUUUCACAUUCUUCUGCACUAGCACAAAUACUAUUUUGAUUUAUAAUUAACCAAUUUGCAUAAGUCUCACCAAAAUGAUAUUACAUAAAUCAAGAUAUCGUAUUAGUAAUAGGAAAUGAUAGUAACCCAUUUAUUUUGGAAGAUCGGCAUAAUACUCUCUCAAUUUUAUGUUUAUGUGAUUCUAUUAAACUCUCCAUUUUAUAAAAUAAUAAAAUGUCAAACUAGUUUGUUUUAGAAAAAAAAAUUAAAGAAGAAAGAAAAGAAAUAAGUGGGGCAGGGCAGGGCGGGUUGAAAACUUUGUGGGUUUUGCCAAACCCGCCCCACCCCACCCCAUUGUCAUCCCUAAAUAGAGCUCUUGCCUAAAAACUAACUAUGUCAUUACUAUCACAGUGAAGUUAGCAACUUUCAUCCAACCUUUACGAAAUGUUCAUUCAAAAACUAAUGGUGCAAAUGAAAACCAAAUGGAAGCCACGCAAUUAUGACUACAAUUAUGACUAAAAUUACUUCCAAACUAAAAAAUGUUUGAAUUUGGAAGAACUGAAUUAGCAUGUUUCAGUUUUUAGUCACCAAAAUAACUCAAAUCAAUCUUCUAAUAUUACAAAUAAACUAAAAUUUUCUGAUAACUCAAAACACAAUAGAAUUACCUGAAUCAGAAGAUUUUGGACUGUUUUGUGAAGGAAUUGGAGGUUGGAUAUAGGUUAUCUUUGCUAAUACUCACUCAAAAUUACUUCAUUCGCCGUCGAAAAUGGAGGAAUACAUCGGAGGGGCGGCGAAGUUUUCUGAUAGUGGAGGGGAAAGUGUGUUUUAGUUCAAACAAAACGGACCUAAUGCGAUUAUAAACGCAGUGC
This 6889-nucleotide long non-coding RNA is filed under the name Nicotiana tabacum (common tobacco). RNAcentral describes it as "long non-coding RNA (NTAB_LNC005975)". Lineage: Eukaryota; Viridiplantae; Streptophyta; Magnoliopsida; Solanales; Solanaceae. The record is from RNAcentral.